ACUCCUACGGGAGGCAGCAGUGGGGAAUAUUGCACAAUGGGCGCAAGCCUGAUGCAGCAACGCCGCGUGAGGGACGACGGCCUUCGGGUUGUAAACCUCUUUUAGUAGGGAAGAAGCGAAAGUGACGGUACCUGCAGAAAAAGCACCGGCUAACUACGUGCCAGCAGCCGCGGUAAUACGUAGGGUGCAAGCGUUAUCCGGAAUUAUUGGGCGUAAAGAGCUCGUAGGCGGUUUGUCGCGUCUGCUGUGAAAACUGGAGGCUCAACCUCCAGCCUGCAGUGGGUACGGGCAGACUAGAGUGCGGUAGGGGAGAUUGGAAUUCCUGGUGUAGCGGUGGAAUGCGCAGAUAUCAGGAGGAACACCGAUGGCGAAGGCAGAUCUCUGGGCCGUAACUGACGCUGAGGAGCGAAAGCAUGGGGAGCGAACAGGAUUAGAUACCCUGGUAGUCCAUGCCGUAAACGUUGGGAACUAGAUGUAGGGACCAUUCCACGGUUUCUGUGUCGCAGCUAACGCAUUAAGUUCCCCGCCUGGGGAGUACGGCCGCAAGGCUAAAACUCAAAGGAAUUGACGGGGGCCCGCACAAGCGGCGGAGCAUGCGGAUUAAUUCGAUGCAACGCGAAGAACCUUACCAAGGCUUGACAUAUACCGGAAAAGUUCAGAAAUGUUCUCCCCGCAAGGCCGGUAUACAGGUGGUGCAUGGUUGUCGUCAGCUCGUGUCGUGAGAUGUUGGGUUAAGUCCCGCAACGAGCGCAACCCUCGUUCUAUGUUGCCAGCACGUAAUGGUGGGAACUCAUAGGAGACUGCCGGGGUCAACUCGGA
Molecule: ribosomal RNA, 819 nt
Filed under: uncultured Actinomycetes bacterium
Lineage: Bacteria; Bacillati; Actinomycetota; Actinomycetes
Description: bacterial SSU rRNA
Rfam family: Bacterial small subunit ribosomal RNA
Source: RNAcentral